This is a long non-coding RNA of Choloepus didactylus (southern two-toed sloth), 375 nucleotides long. RefSeq lists it as uncharacterized. The record is from RefSeq and is a predicted model, not a curated record. NCBI's taxonomy places the organism in Eukaryota, Metazoa, Chordata, Mammalia, Pilosa, Megalonychidae. The transcript has 2 exons.
AAGGUUUUGACUGUUCAUCAAGUAUUAUCUAAGUAACUUCUCUAACCACCAUGUCAGUCUAGGAGCAGAAACCUCACCACACAUGGCAUCUCUGAAAAUUCUCAUUGCAUUUCUGUUUAGAAAUACUUCUCUGUAUGUGUUUGCUAAUCUUACAAACAUAAUUCUAAGAAAGGAAAAUUAAUUUGUGUGCAGUUGUAAAUAUAAAAACAACCUCCUUGAGAAGAAUUUGGAAAGGGUAGAAUAAGGACCUCCACAAAAGCAGGGCAAACCCUGGCAAAAAUGAUCAAAAUCAACUUUUUCAGAAUUGUAGAUAUUAACCAAAGGCUUCCAACAAUCCAGAGAGCAUAUACUCAAUAAAGAUUAUAAGAACAGUAA